GCGGAUAUAGCUCAGUGGAAGAGUGUAAUUUUGCCAAGAUUGAUGUCAUGAGUUCAAAUCUCAUUAUCUGCU
This 72-nucleotide transfer RNA is filed under the name Euglena longa. RNAcentral describes it as "transfer RNA-Gly (GCC)". It matches the Rfam family "tRNA". From Rfam's summary of the family: Transfer RNA (tRNA) molecules are approximately 80 nucleotides in length. Their secondary structure includes four short double-helical elements and three loops (D, anti-codon, and T loops). Further hydrogen bonds mediate the characteristic L-shaped molecular structure. tRNAs have two regions of fundamental functional importance: the anti-codon, which is responsible for specific mRNA codon recognition, and the 3' end, to which the tRNAs corresponding amino acid is attached (by aminoacyl-tRNA synthetases). tRNAs cope with the degeneracy of the genetic code in two manners: having more than one tRNA (with a specific anti-codon) for a particular amino acid; and 'wobble' base-pairing, i.e. permitting non-standard base-pairing at the 3rd anti-codon position. Lineage: Eukaryota; Euglenozoa; Euglenophyceae; Euglenales; Euglenaceae. The record is from RNAcentral.